Molecule: unclassified non-coding RNA, 218 nt
Filed under: uncultured Tomentella
Lineage: Eukaryota; Fungi; Basidiomycota; Agaricomycetes; Thelephorales; Thelephoraceae
Description: sequence contains ITS2
Source: RNAcentral
ACACCUCAACUCCCAUGGCUCGCCAUGGUGAGCUUGGACUUUGGGGGUUUUGCUGGCCUACGGUCGGCUCCUCUCAAAUGAAUUAGCCUGCCAGUGUUUGGUGGCAUCACAGGUGUGAUAAAUAUCUACACUUGUGAUUGCCCACCAGGUAACCUUCAGCAAUGGGGGUUCACUGGGGCUCAUAGACGUCUCUCCCUCAGCGAGGACAACUCUUUAAA